This 497-nucleotide ribosomal RNA is filed under the name uncultured bacterium. RNAcentral describes it as "partial 16S ribosomal RNA". It matches the Rfam family "Bacterial small subunit ribosomal RNA", at positions 28 to 507 of the family's 1533-position model. The record is from RNAcentral.
GAUGAACGCUGGCGGCGUGCCUAAUACAUGCAAGUCGAGCGAACAGACGAGGAGCUUGCUCCUCUGACGUUAGCGGCGGACGGGUGAGUAACACGUGGAUAACCUACCUAUAAGACUGAGAUAACUUCGGGAAACCGGAGCUAAUACCGGAUAAUAUAUUGAACCGCAUGGUUCAAUAGUGUAAGACGGUUUUGCUGUCACUUAUAGAUGGAUCCGCGCCGCAUUAGCUAGUUGGUAAGGUAACGGCUUACCAAGGCAACGAUGCGUAGCCGACCUGAGAGGGUGAUCGGCCACACUGGAACUGAGACACGGUCCAGACUCCUACGGGAGGCAGCAGUAGGGAAUCUUCCGCAAUGGGCGAAAGCCUGACGGAGCAACGCCGCGUGAGUGAUGAAGGUCUUCGGAUCGUAAAACUCUGUUAUUAGGGAAGAACAAAUGUGUAAGUAACUAUGCACGUCUUGACGGUACCUAAUCAGAAAGCCACGGCUAACUACGUG